RNAcentral lists this ribosomal RNA (427 nucleotides) under uncultured prokaryote. RNAcentral's name for it is "bacterial SSU rRNA". It matches the Rfam family "Bacterial small subunit ribosomal RNA", at positions 355 to 796 of the family's 1533-position model. The record is from RNAcentral.
UGGGGCAUUUUCCGCAAUGGGCGAAAGCCUGACGGAGCAAUACCGCGUGAGGGAGGAAGGCCUUUGGGUUGUAAACCUCUUUUCUCAGGGAAGAAGAAAGUGACGGUACCUGAGGAAUCAGCAUCGGCUAACUCCGUGCCAGCAGCCGCGGUAAUACGGAGGAUGCAAGCGUUAUCCGGAAUUAUUGGGCGUAAAGCGUCCGCAGGUGGCUCACCAAGUCUGCUGUCAAAGAGCGAAGCUUAACUUCGCAAAGGCAGUGGAAACUGGCGAGCUAGAGUAUGGUAGGGGUAGAGGGAAUUCCCAGUGUAGCGGUGAAAUGCGUAGAGAUUGGGAAGAACAUCGGUGGCGAAAGCGCUCUACUGGGCCAUAACUGACACUCAGGGACGAAAGCUAAGGUAGCGAAUGGGAUUAGAUACCCCGGUAGUCC